This 66-nucleotide non-coding RNA is filed under the name Planctomycetota bacterium. The record is from RNAcentral. Lineage: Bacteria; Pseudomonadati; Planctomycetota.
AGUCGAAACCGGGCUUCGGCCCGGUCUGUUCGGGAUGGUUUCCGGGCACUGAUGAGACAAACCACA